RNAcentral lists this unclassified non-coding RNA (278 nucleotides) under uncultured Glomeraceae. Its description in RNAcentral is "sequence contains 5.8S rRNA gene, ITS2, 28S rRNA gene". The record is from RNAcentral. Lineage: Eukaryota; Fungi; Glomeromycota; Glomeromycetes; Glomerales; Glomeraceae.
AACGCAUAUUGCACUCUCUGGUUUUCCAGGAGUAUGCCUGUUUGAGGGUCAGUUAAAUAAAAAUCGAGGUUGUUGCUGCCUUUCGUGGUGAAGCUUCGGAGUUGGGUCGUCUUUACCUUUGGUUAAGUGACCUAAAAUUUAAUAUGAUUUUUGAACGUAUUUAAAUGAUUUACGUACGUUUGUAACGUCAAAUAUUAGGAGUGGCCAUCCUUAUGGUUCGCGCCUAUAAUUUUUCAUCUAUUGACCUCAAAUCAGGUAAGAGUACCCGCUGAACUUAA